Melanotaenia boesemani (Boeseman's rainbowfish) is the source of this 1104-nucleotide long non-coding RNA. RefSeq lists it as uncharacterized. The record is from RefSeq and is a predicted model, not a curated record. The transcript is spliced from 3 exons. NCBI's taxonomy places the organism in Eukaryota, Metazoa, Chordata, Actinopteri, Atheriniformes, Melanotaeniidae.
AUGACUCUCUGUUUGAAUGUAUACUGCCAGGUCAAAUGCUGUGCAGGUGUGUGCGAAGGAGGGAGAGAAAAUAGCAGAGGAAGAGGAAAGUGUGGAGGCAAAGAAUGACACUAACUGGAUGCCUGCAGAGUUGGAGAGCCAUCUUCCUGCGUCGUGUAAUUAGAAAUGCAAAGGUUACAGCCGACCUACUCGCAUGCAUGUGGUCGCCUGCGAACGACCCAGAUCUCUUGCCUUGUCAUCAGGCACCAUUAUAUGGCUCCUUUUCAGGCUCCUUAAAGUCUGUUCCUUCAACACAGAUACUCAAACAGCAGUGUUCAGCUCAAGCUGUUUACCAGGGAUCUUCUGGAGCGCCGAUUGGAGUCCCAGGCUUAGCCCUUUUUUUGUGCAAUAAAUCAGAAAGUCAUGUUAACGUCCAGCGACCGGCUUAUAACUUGUCACCGAAUCACAUUAAUCAUGUUUAUCAAUAGAAUUUUGCCUGUGAAUUAUUAAAAGGAUGGCUCUGGUGAUACGGCUCUCACUGAGCUUAAUCACUCAUUAUAAUCCACAGUGGAUAAAAUAUUCACCAGCGCUCAUAGAGAGAGCUCCCUUGUAAAGACCUUAUCACCUCGUAUCCGGGAAAUCGAUAUUCACACAGUAUCGGAUAAGCAUAUAUAUAUAAAAAAAGAAAAAAAAAGAAAAAAGAAAAAGAUGUAGGCUGUUUGAAAGGCAGUAGCCUUUAGAAAGAAAAAUAAUUCAGUUUAUGACAUAAUAAAGCAAGAAGCAGAUUUAGUAAGUUCAAAGAUAAAAACCAAGAUACAAGAUUUCAUUCAAACUAAAUUUGACAGAUAAUCUCAAAUAUGGGGACAAUCCAACCAUUUUAGACUGAAGAUUACAGUGUAGUGUGGGAAUGAUGGCGCACACGUUACAGUGUGUUAUUAGAGAGUGUGGAUGUGAAUGCCGGUGGAGUUCUGGAUCUUAUCAGGGCGGUGUAAACAUAUUUUGUGUGUUUUUCCUUUGCUGCGGUGCUGAUAAAGAGAUGGGCGUCGGUCCAGCACUGACAGAGAGGCUCUCUCAGGUUACCGUGGUGCUCCUCUGCUGUCGACGCCGCCGCAUCUCCUGCAAACG